Molecule: ribosomal RNA, 300 nt
Filed under: Triticum aestivum (bread wheat)
Lineage: Eukaryota; Viridiplantae; Streptophyta; Magnoliopsida; Poales; Poaceae
Description: partial small subunit ribosomal RNA
Source: RNAcentral
AUGUGGCACAAGACCGGCAAUACCUUGCCGGUGAUGGUCAACGGCCGGCAGACGGGCAGCAAAAAGGUUCUGGUGUUGCACACCAACAAGAACUUCGACCAGCAGAGGACCAACUGGGUGAUGCACCUGUACCACCUCGGGGACCUGGAGCAAGAGAAGGAACGAGAGCUGGUCCUUUGCAAGAUUUUCUACCAGACGAACACUAGGGCCAGGAGUCGAGCAAGUUUCAACUGGGUUGUAGACUGCCCAAGCUUGGUUUUGUUUUUAACAGGCCCAGCCCAUGAUGACAACGGGGCAUAA